RNAcentral lists this ribosomal RNA (495 nucleotides) under uncultured bacterium. Its description in RNAcentral is "bacterial SSU rRNA". It matches the Rfam family "Bacterial small subunit ribosomal RNA", at positions 15 to 507 of the family's 1533-position model. The record is from RNAcentral.
GAUCAUGGCUCAGAUUGAACGCUGGCGGAAUGCUUUACACAUGCAAGUCGAACGGUAGAGGGGGCAACCCCUCGAGAGUGGCGAACGGGUGAGUAAUAUAUCGGAACGUGCCCAGUCGUGGGGGAUAACGUAGCGAAAGUUACGCUAAUACCGCAUACGAUCUACGGAUGAAAGCGGGGGACUCGCAAGAGCCUCGCGCGAUUGGAGCGGCCGAUAUCAGAUUAGGUAGUUGGUGGGGUAAAGGCUCACCAAGCCAACGAUCUGUAGCUGGUCUGAGAGGACGACCAGCCACACUGGAACUGAGACACGGUCCAGACUCCUACGGGAGGCAGCAGUGGGGAAUUUUGGACAAUGGACGCAAGUCUGAUCCAGCCAUUCCGCGUGCAGGAUGAAGGCCCUCGGGUUGUAAACUGCUUUUGUACGGAACGAAAAGGUUUCUAUUAAUACUAGGAGCUCAUGACGGUACCGUAAGAAUAAGCACCGGCUAACUACGUG